RNAcentral lists this ribosomal RNA (484 nucleotides) under Bacillus sp. oral taxon F28. Its description in RNAcentral is "bacterial SSU rRNA". It matches the Rfam family "Bacterial small subunit ribosomal RNA", at positions 28 to 480 of the family's 1533-position model. The record is from RNAcentral. Lineage: Bacteria; Bacillati; Bacillota; Bacilli; Caryophanales; Bacillaceae.
GACGAACGCUGGCGGCGUGCCUAAUACAUGCAAGUCGAGCGCGGGAAGCUUGCGGAAUCCUUCGGGAGGAAGUGAGCGGACCGGGCGGCGGACGGGUGAGUAACACGUGGGCAACCUGCCCGUAAGACGGGGAUAACCCCGGGAAACCGGGGCUAAUACCGGAUAGGUGACCUUUCUGCAUGGAGGGGUCAUGAAAGGCGGCGGAAGCCGUCGCUUACGGAGGGGCCCGCGGCGCAUUAGCUAGUUGGUGAGGGAAGGGCUCACCAAGGCGACGAUGCGUAGCCGGCCUGAGAGGGUGAACGGCCACACUGGGACUGAGACACGGCCCAGACUCCUACGGGAGGCAGCAGUAGGGAAUCUUCCGCAAUGGACGGAAGUCUGACGGAGCAACGCCGCGUGAGUGAGGAGGGCCUUCGGGUCGUAAAGCUCUGUUGUUCGUGAAGAAGGGGUUGGCCAGGAAAUGGGCCGACAUUGACGGUAAGCG